Molecule: ribosomal RNA, 729 nt
Filed under: Candidatus Tremblayella phenacoccinincola
Lineage: Bacteria; Pseudomonadati; Pseudomonadota; Betaproteobacteria
Description: bacterial SSU rRNA
Rfam family: Bacterial small subunit ribosomal RNA
Source: RNAcentral
GGGAUAGAAUUCCAGGAGUAGCGGUGAAAUGCGUAGAUAUCUGGAGGAAUACCAAAGGCGAAGGCAGUCCUCUGGUCCGAUACUGACACUGAGGUACGAAAGCGUGGGGAGCAAACAGGAUUAGAUACCCUGGUAGUCCACGCCCUAAACGAUGUCGAUUAGCCAUUGGAAGGACCCCUUUUCCUUUCAGUGACGUAGCUAACGCGUUAAAUCGACCGCCUGGGAAGUACGACCGCAAGGUUAAAACUCAAAGGAAUUGACGGGGACCUGAACAAGCGGUGAAUGAUGUGGAUUAAUUCGAUGCUACGCGAAGAACCUUACCUACCUUUGACAUGGCCAAAGUUCUACCGAGAGGCGGAAGUACUCGUAAGAGGAUUGGCGCACAGGUGCUGCAUGGUUGUCGUCAGUUCGUGUCGUGAGAUGUUGGGUUCAGUCCCGCAACGAACGCAACCCUUAUCUUUAAUUGCUCCUAUUUUAACAGGCACUUUAAAGAAACUGCCAAUGAUAAGUUGGAGGAAGGUGGGGAUCACGUCAAGUCCGCAUGGCCUUUAUAGGUAGGGCUUCACACGUCAUACAAUGGUUAGAACAAAGAGCUGCAAAUUCGUAAGAAGGAGCCAAUCUCACAAACCUAACCUCAGUUCGAAUUGCGGUCUGCAACUCGAGCGCAUGAAGCCGGAAUCGCUAGUAAUCGUGGAUCAGAAUGCCACGGUGAAUACGUUCUUAGGUCUU